Molecule: long non-coding RNA, 968 nt
Filed under: Homo sapiens (human)
Lineage: Eukaryota; Metazoa; Chordata; Mammalia; Primates; Hominidae
Description: HSALNT0354098
Source: RNAcentral
CUUCAACUGGCUUUAAUAAUAAACAAAAGCACUGGCUUAAGUGCUUCAAAGUUCAGAGAGAUUUCUGGCUUCGAGAAAAGCUUGAAACAACACCACAGACUUGUCAUCAAGGGCUCAACUUCUCUUCAUCUUUUACUUUUGGCUUUUACGAUGUUGGCUCCAUGCCUAGUCUCCACACAGUAAUCCCUGCUCCGUUCAGCAGGCAGUUCCAGGCUCUCUCCUCACAAGAGUAAAAUGGCUACAGCAGUUCCAGAUCUUGCAACUUCACACCGCACUAUCCAGGCUAAUGUCCAGUUGGCCAGUCAACCAUGGCUGCAAUGAAAGGAAAAUGACUUUGGGGAAGUAACAUGGACUUCUUGGAGUAAAACAAUCAAGGCCUUAUGAAACUGACAGCUUCCGCUACCUGUGUCUUAGAACAAUGCUCUUGAAAACCAGCCACCAUGCUGUGAGGAAGACCAAAGAAUCCCAUGGGGAAGCCCACAUAGAGAAGAACUGGAAGUUCCAGACUGAAGACCUGCUGUGUUCCCAAACAGUCAGUACCAAUUUGCCUUUUAAGAGAGUGAGCUAUCAUAUAAAUGACUUCUCUGGAUCCAGAAAAGCCUAGUACUUGACCUACAAAAUCAUGAGCAAAAUAAAAUUGCUCUUUUAAGACAUUAUCUUUUGGGGUAUUUUCACAGGCAACCGGCACCCACUAUAAAAAGCUGUCACCUCAUAUGAGAUAACAUCCUCAAGACAUUUUGAGUAGUUUAAUCCAGAUCACCAGAAACCCCCUUUAUUUUAUCUCCAAGCAAACACGUAUUUCCUGCCUUUCAGUAAUGUAUGUUCUAAAAGAGGAAAAACACAUUGAGAUACAAAAGCACAUUAUAAGACAGAAAACUCUAUGUUCCAUUUCCUAUCAUUUACCUUGAUGUGAACAACCAUCUCCAAAAGGGGGACUAGUUGCCAUUGCUUCAUAUCUCCCUCUCAUC